This 254-nucleotide ribosomal RNA is filed under the name uncultured bacterium. Its description in RNAcentral is "partial 16S ribosomal RNA". It matches the Rfam family "Bacterial small subunit ribosomal RNA", at positions 524 to 776 of the family's 1533-position model. The record is from RNAcentral.
UACGUAGGGGGCCAGCGUUGUCCGGAUUCAUUGGGCGUAAAGCGCGCGUAGGCGGCGCGCCAGGUCGGUCGUGAAAUCCCCCGGCUCAACCGGGGGGGGUCGAUCGAAACCGGCGCGCUCGAGGCCGGUAGGGGAGAGCGGAAUUCCCGGUGUAGUGGUGGAAUGCGUAGAGAUCGGGAGGAACACCAGUGGCGAAGGCGGCUCUCUGGCCCGGUUCCUGACGCUGAGGCGCGAAAGCGUGGGGAGCGAUCCGG